Molecule: non-coding RNA, 86 nt
Organism: Vigna radiata var. radiata (mung bean)
Lineage: Eukaryota; Viridiplantae; Streptophyta; Magnoliopsida; Fabales; Fabaceae
Source: Rfam
UGGAGAAGGGGAGCACGUGCAAAUUGAUUCAAUGGCGUUUAGGAGAGCCAAGAAUUGCACACUUGCACGUGCCCUGCUUCUCCAAC